RNAcentral lists this ribosomal RNA (530 nucleotides) under uncultured bacterium. Its description in RNAcentral is "bacterial SSU rRNA". It matches the Rfam family "Bacterial small subunit ribosomal RNA", at positions 103 to 650 of the family's 1533-position model. The record is from RNAcentral.
CGGGUGAGUAACGCGUGGGUAACCUGCCCUGUACAGGGGGAUAACAGUCAGAAAUGACUGCUAAUACCGCAUAAGACCACAGCACCGCAUGGUGCAGGGGUAAAAACUCCGGUGGUACAGGAUGGACCCGCGUCUGAUUAGCUGGUUGGUGAGGUAACGGCUCACCAAGGCGACGAUCAGUAGCCGGCUUGAGAGAGUGAACGGCCACAUUGGGACUGAGACACGGCCCAAACUCCUACGGGAGGCAGCAGUGGGGAAUAUUGCACAAUGGGGGAAACCCUGAUGCAGCGACGCCGCGUGAGUGAAGAAGUAUCUCGGUAUGUAAAAGCUCUAUCAGCAGGGAAGAAAAUGACGGUACCUGACUAAGAAGCCCCGGCUAACUACGUGCCAGCAGCCGCGGUAAUACGUAGGGGGCAAGCGUUAUCCGGAAUUACUGGGUGUAAAGGGUGCGUAGGUGGUAUGGCAAGUCAGAAGUGAAAACCCAGGGCUUAACUCUGGGACUGCUUUUGAAACUGUCAGACUGGAGUGCG